AGACGUCACGAGUUUGAUCAUGGCUCAGAUUGAACGCUGGCGGCAGGCUUAACACAUGCAAGUCGAGCGGAGACUUCGGUCUUAGCGGCGAACGGGUGAGUAAUACCUAGGAAUCUGCCUAUUAGUGGGGGAUAACGAAUCGAAAGGUUCGCUAAUACCGCAUACGUCCUACGGGAGAAAGGGGGGGAUCUUCGGACCUCUCGCUAAUAGAUGAGCCUAGGCCGGAUUAGCUAGUUGGUAGGGUAAAGGCCUACCAAGGCGACGAUCUGUAGCUGGUCUGAGAGGAUGAUCAGCCACACUGGAACUGAGACACGGUCCAGACUCCUACGGGAGGCAGCAGUGGGGAAUAUUGCGCAAUGGGCGAAAGCCUGACGCAGCCAUGCCGCGUGUGUGAAGAAGGCCCUUGGGUUGUAAAGCACUUUCAAUUGGGAAGAAAGGUUGCGUGUUAAUAGCACGUAGCUGUGACGUUACCUUUAGAAGAAGCACCGGCUAACUCCGUG
This 500-nucleotide ribosomal RNA is filed under the name uncultured bacterium. Its description in RNAcentral is "bacterial SSU rRNA". It matches the Rfam family "Bacterial small subunit ribosomal RNA", at positions 1 to 507 of the family's 1533-position model. The record is from RNAcentral.